AGAGGCUCCGAGAAACGCACUUUUAAAUAAGAAAAUCGAACAGUUUGAUGGCGCCCUCGCUCCCUCUUCUCGCAGCCACCCUUGUGACACUCGAACGUUAUGGCCCCCUUUACAGGUGCCUGGAGCGCUUGUCAGAUUCUGGAACCAGCCCAAACCAACAAAAGCCACCCGCGUCCCGGCGGAAGUCCAGCGCACAGUGGCCACUGAGUGCCCCUGGAAGCACCACCAAGCCCAGGAAAGCCCCACGACCACCACGCCCCGAGCUGUCCCCUGCACGUGGAUCUUCCCCGAUCUCCUAGUGGAAGUGCUUGCUGCAGACAUCAGUUGGGGGUCCUUGUCGCUUUCUUACAGGGCUGUUCAGGACAGCCAUGCUGCCACUGAACUGGCUUUCAGGGAUUCUUGAUGAAAUCACCCCGAGUCUCCAACUUGGGUUCUACCCCAAACCACAUGGUCUCCACUGUGGGAGUGCCACCAGCACCGAGGCCUCCAACUGCAGGCCUACAAAGACGGAGCAGCAGAAGACAUCUGCCACCAUCUUCUUGGCGCUUCAGAUAUCUUCAUGUUCAAAGGAGCCACUUAAACUCAACCUUCACCCACCACUUCCAUCACCUGUGACCUGGCCUCCCUAUCCAAUCUGCUCCCUGAUGAUCACUGGCAUCUUGUUUCUCUCUUGCUCAAAAGUCUUCACCAGUUUCUCAUACAAGAUCCAAUUCAAACUCCACAGCCUUGACACCUCACAUCCAGAACCCUUCCGGCACCCUCUGUCCACUCCAAGCUGGCCCUUUCUCUAACUCAUCCUUGUGGCCUCCCUGCCAGGCCUUUGCUCUUAAGAACACCCCACAUAUUAGACCCUCCUUGCUAUUCUC
Molecule: long non-coding RNA, 866 nt
Filed under: Ictidomys tridecemlineatus (thirteen-lined ground squirrel)
Lineage: Eukaryota; Metazoa; Chordata; Mammalia; Rodentia; Sciuridae
Description: lncRNA (ENSSTOG00000029419.1)
Source: RNAcentral